This 1544-nucleotide long non-coding RNA is filed under the name Anser cygnoides (Swan goose). RNAcentral's name for it is "lncRNA (ENSACDG00005005390.1)". Lineage: Eukaryota; Metazoa; Chordata; Aves; Anseriformes; Anatidae. The record is from RNAcentral.
AGGGACACCGGGAAGGACACGGGAAUGCAUGGGGACACGGGCAGGGACACGGGAACGCACAGGGACAUGGAUGUGGGUACGGGCAGGGGCACGGGGACGGGCACGGACAGGGACACGGGGAUGCACAGGGACACGGGCAGGGACACCAGCAGCACCAGCAGGGACACGGGGAUGGACACGGACACCGACACGCCCAGGGUGCAACCCUGGUGGCACUGCUGUGACCGACACACGCGUGUGCCCGGGACCCCCCCGGCCGUGCCGUGGGCACCGUGGGGACGCGGAGUUGUGAGCACGCGCGUGUGCGCCCUGUGUGAGCACACCCGGGGCAGGACCUCGGGACACGUCACCCCCCGCCCCUCCCGCACACACUCGUCACCUCCUCCACGCGCACACACACACACGUGUGCGCUCCCAGCCACCCCCUUGUGCUCCCCCCCAUUUUCGCUCCCUGCCUCCGCUCCUCCUGCGGCGUGGGGCGUCCCCAAGACGCUCGGGACCAGCCGCCCCCUCCCCCAGGCGCCAGGCCCCCCCCUUUUUGCCCUUUUUGACCCCUUCCAGCUCCCAGGCAUUGCGCAAAGCACCCCGCAAUCCUCCCCGGACCGCGCUUGGCGGCCUCGAUUAAACACCAAGCAGCCACGGGGCGUUUUUAAGGGCUUUAGAGCCGUGGAAGGGACACAGGCAGGCGACAGACGCUGGCUGGCCCUCGUCGUCCCCGUCCCUGCUGUUUCGGGGCAUGUGUUGUUUUUCCGCCCAAUUUCCUGCUUUAACGAGCCCCGCUCGCCCCGCAGAAGCGGCGCGGCGGACGGCGGAGCUCGGGCCAAGCCCCGCCGUGGGGCGGCCGUGCCCCUGGGGCCCCCGUCCCUCGAGGCAGGGCCCCGUCCCUUCGCCGGGCACCACUCGGUACCCGAAUUUCUCCCGCUCUCCCCGCGAGGCUGUAAACACGAGCUGGGGAACGCCCUGGCUGGGGGAGGAGGAAGGAAGCUUCUCCCCGCGGGCUGGCGGCCGCCGCGGCAGCGCCCGGCCCCGCUUUUGGAAGGGGCGAGGGUCCAACAGGUAGAGAAGCGGCCCGGUGGCAGGGAGCGAUCCCGACACCCGGCUCCUCCGCUUCUGCGCCACUGUCUGCGGCCUCCCAGCCCGCCCGGGCUGCGGAGAUGAAAGCAGAGGUGCCAAAACUCCCCCAGGGGCUCCACAGGGAGCGAUUCCUGCAGGGAAUCCCCCCCCGGGGCCGGGCUUCUCACCUCCCUGGGUGCCGAGCAGAGCAGAAGGGGGCUCCUCCUGCAGCUCCCCCCCCCCGUGGGCAGCAGCUUUCGGAGGCGUCAGCAUCGCUGCUCCCACCCCGGCGACUUCAAAGCGCCCCCAGCCCCUCGGCGAGGGCAGGAGGGGCGGCUUUAUGGCCGGGGCCUCGCCGCUGCCAUUUGCCCGCAACCGCCGGCCACCCUCUUCCUCUUCCUGCCGCUUUCGGGAGCAGUUUGACGAUGGAUGUUUUUCAACCCCCCCCCCNNNNNNNNNNNNNNNNNNNNNNNNNNNNNNNNNNNNNNNNN